Molecule: long non-coding RNA, 2298 nt
Filed under: Meleagris gallopavo (turkey)
Lineage: Eukaryota; Metazoa; Chordata; Aves; Galliformes; Phasianidae
Description: lncRNA (ENSMGAG00000019834.1)
Source: RNAcentral
AGACUGCGGCAUCGAGCAGCAACCUGUGCAGCACCAAGGAACCUGUGCUGCAGCCCUUUGCAGUCCUUAGCCUCUCCAGGCUGCUGACAAGGGAUGAAGUUGGAUUCCGAGUCACAGAUAGCAGUGCUGCUCCUGCCUUCCUUCAAUCUUGCCUAAUUGCUUUGCCUCCAGGGAUGAGUUCCUUCAAGGUCUGAGUGCUGCUGAUGAAGACACCUGCUCUGCAAGCCCUGAGCCGAUGUUUUCAAUGGAUCUUGACACUGAAUGGGAGAAAGGGCAUCUCCUGAAAGGCUCGUGCCUCGAGGAGUUCGAUGGAGCUGGAAAGCGAGGAGCAGCCGCUCCUGCGGGCAGAUGAGAGCAGCCCCACGAGCCCUCAGCUCCCCGUCCUGCCCGCAGAACCCUCUGCAGCACUGCCGGUGUACAGGUGGGCUCCUCCCCCUGCGAUGGGAGCAUCCCCUCCGCCGGGGCCGCGUCCGUCCGUCCCGUCUGGGUCUGCCGGUCCUCAGAGCCGUGCAGAGGGAUCCCCUCGCAGCACCAGGUGGCACUCUCGGACUUCAAACCGAGCCAGGUUUUCCAAAAGCAGAGCAGCCGCUGGUGGCUUUGGGAGAAGCCAGGCAGAGCUGGGAGCAAACAGAGCAGGAAUGCCUGGAGAAGGCUGAGAUGCAGCACCUGCAGAGGUGGGAGCAGCCCCACGGAGCCACACCGCCACUGCAGGAGACAUCAGUGCUUCCCCUCUGCUGUUCCCAACCUGCCCAGGAGCCCCGUGCUUCAUCUUCCUCCUCUUCUUUCCUUUGUGUUUAUCAUUCAUGUGCACACCACGUUUCCUUGCUGCUUUUUCCCUUUCCUUUUCCUUGGAGAAGGCCCUGCGUGUCUCACCACACCCAUGGGGUGGACAAGUUUGGUCUGAGGUGGUUUCAAUUGAACAUUUUGUGUGAAUGAGCUCUUCUUGCUUCUCCGUCUUUGCUCUCAAGUUCCCUCAUUAAACACAGAAUUCUCUGCUGAAUUCGUUUUUCUCCUUUCUUUCUUUCCUUCCACCUCCCAGUUUUUUUCACGUCUUCCACUUUCCUCUCUGUGGUUUUUAAGGUGUUUAUGGAUUAAUUUUUUAAUUUGGGGGUUAGAAAAGGCAAAGGAGAGGUGUGAUCCUCCGAUCCAUGAUGGUCCCCUGAUUGUUAAAGGUGACAAUCUUGUAUGCAGUGUUGGAGAGGAGUUGGAGGACCCCGACCCUGUAGAGGAGAAGACCCUCUGCUCUUCAUCUUCUGUUUGAGUACAUGGGAGAAACCAUGCGAGCAGGGCUGGAGGAGCUGCUGGCAGCCCGGCUCCUGCUAAUCUGGGAAUUGUAUGCCAGGAAGCACACACCCAGCCGACCUGCCCCAGACAAAGCCUGCCGUGUCCGCACCGGCUCUCCAGGCGUUCCCCGCGCGCCUUGGGUUAUUUCAGAGUUAUCCCAGCAUGGGUUCCCUCCCCAGACUUCCACCUGUGCUGGUUGCGGGGUUGGAGCGCAUUGCUCCCGGCAUGGCUCGCAUGCUCUCCUUCUGCAAAAUGGGGCUGUGCCAUCUAAACUCUCCUGGCCAACCUGAAAUACCAGUGGUGAGAGCGGGAUCCCCUCCCUGCUUGUCUUGCAGGUGUUCACUUUGGACCCUAACGAUGGCAAAUUAACCAGGGCCAUUGUUACUUUCUCUGGGUUGAGCAGAGCUAUUGCGUCAAUAGAAACAUCCCACAUCACCUCUCUGGUAGCAGAACUCUGCGUCCUUGAUGUGUCCUUAGAAACCUUCAGCUCCAAAUAAACUUCUGCGGGAUUUCCUGUAGAAAAGCACUAUAUAAAAUGUGGGUAUUCUUAGCAGUGCCCCUCUGCCAGGUCGUGUGUCACACACCAGCACCGGGCGAGGAGAUGCCAGGAGGAAGGGUUUGCCUCUGCUGAGUCACUUGGGUUACACACUGCCUUGGGAAGCAGCUGCUGUCAUCUGCUAAACGAGGGUUGCCAGAGCUGACCAAGUCAUUUCCACAGCAUUCAAGCAUCCCUGGGUAGGGCAGCCCUCAUCCCUGCACCAUUCCCACUGUGUGGGUGGGAAUUGGAGGGGUCUGCACGGAGCCACGCUUGGCACUGCAUGUGGUGGGUGGUGGGAGUGGGCAGGGUGUGUUCUGCUCUCCUCUAUCAGGGCAGAGCUGGGCCCACCGCCACGGUGAGCAGCUGCACGCUCACGUGGUGCUCCCACAUCCUGCACAACGUAUUUCAAGAGGUGCUAUUUACAAACACCAACACGGUGCUAGAGCAAGUGCUGCAACCUGCACGGCGUGGAGGAG